RNAcentral lists this ribosomal RNA (492 nucleotides) under uncultured bacterium. Its description in RNAcentral is "partial 16S ribosomal RNA". It matches the Rfam family "Bacterial small subunit ribosomal RNA", at positions 29 to 507 of the family's 1533-position model. The record is from RNAcentral.
AGUGAACGCUGGCGGUAGGCCUAACACAUGCAAGUCGAACGGCAGCACAGUAAGAGCUUGCUCUUACGGGUGGCGAGUGGCGGACGGGUGAGGAAUACAUCGGAAUCUACUUUUUCGUGGGGGAUAACGUAGGGAAACUUACGCUAAUACCGCAUACGACCUACGGGUGAAAGCAGGGGAUCUUCGGACCUUGCGCGAUUGAAUGAGCCGAUGGCGGAUUAGCUAGUUGGCGGGGUAAAGGCACACCAAGGCGACGAUCCGUAGCUGGUCUGAGAGGAUGAUCAGCCACACUGGAACUGAGACACGGUCCAGACUCCUACGGGAGGCAGCAGUGGGGAAUAUUGGACAAUGGGCGCAAGCCUGAUCCAGCCAUACCGCGUGGGUGAAGAAGGCCUUCGGGUUGUAAAGCCCUUUUGUUGGGAAAGAAAAGCAGCAGGUUAAUACCCCGCUGUUCUGACGGUACCCAAAGAAUAAGCACCGGCUAACUUCGUG